AUGGCUGACAGCUGGGAAAAUCCCUGUGCCCCCGCGCAGCCAGCACCUCCUGAAGCUACUUCUCCAGCUGAAGGACGUGGCGAUCUUGAGUACCAUGGAGUUAAAUUCCUGUCCCCUUGCAGCUUUUAUUGCUUCUCUUACAGCCGCUGUGCUGCCUUGAAUGAGUCCUCCGCGUGGUGCUGCUGGUGGAGGUGGCUGGCACUUCAGCCAGGAGCUGGACUCCGUCGGCCCAACAUUGCUAUGCAUUUCAUUCGUACCUGUUGCACUACACGUGACGUUCUUCAGAGACCAGUUGGAUCUGCAUCUUCUUGUGUUUGCAGAUGCACAGCCGACGUCAGAUCUGGCAGCAAGGUGCGUGCCACCCAGCAAAGCCCUCCUGUGCAUGUCCUGCUGGGUGCAAAGUAGAAAG
This 409-nucleotide long non-coding RNA is filed under the name Anser cygnoides (Swan goose). RNAcentral's name for it is "lncRNA (ENSACDG00005006630.1)". Lineage: Eukaryota; Metazoa; Chordata; Aves; Anseriformes; Anatidae. The record is from RNAcentral.